RNAcentral lists this non-coding RNA (30 nucleotides) under Mus musculus (house mouse). The record is from RNAcentral. Lineage: Eukaryota; Metazoa; Chordata; Mammalia; Rodentia; Muridae.
UCAGUGUUUUCAUCUCACAGUUGAGCACUG